GGGGGUAUAGCUCAGAGGUAGAGUGCUCGCUUUGCAUGCGAGAAGUCCCGGGUUCGAUCCCCGGUACCUCCA
This 72-nucleotide transfer RNA is filed under the name Dermacentor silvarum. Its description in RNAcentral is "transfer RNA alanine (anticodon UGC)". It matches the Rfam family "tRNA". Rfam says of the family: Transfer RNA (tRNA) molecules are approximately 80 nucleotides in length. Their secondary structure includes four short double-helical elements and three loops (D, anti-codon, and T loops). The record is from RNAcentral. Lineage: Eukaryota; Metazoa; Arthropoda; Arachnida; Ixodida; Ixodidae.